GAGUGUCUAGUUUAAUUCUUUAUAAAACAUUAAAUUGUCAAAUUAAAAAUACUUUUUAUUAAGUGACCCUCU
Molecule: transfer RNA, 72 nt
Filed under: Nesophrosyne sp. 302 GMB-2012
Lineage: Eukaryota; Metazoa; Arthropoda; Insecta; Hemiptera; Cicadellidae
Description: tRNA-Asp
Source: RNAcentral